CGCAAACUUUUUUUUCGAUAAGAACUCUCAAAAAAAAUAACGCUGUUAUCCCUAAGGUAAUUUAAUCUUAUAAUCAUAAAUAUAUGGAUCACUUACUCAUAAAUCAAUGUUAUUAAAUAAAAAAAGUUCAUUCAAUUUUUUAAUCGCCCCAAUCAAAUAUUGAAUUUUAAAAAUAAAUUAAUAAUUCUAUAACUCUCUAUUCUUAAAAUUAAAUAUAAAACUCUAUAGGGUCUUCUCGUCUUUUAAGAAUAUUUAAGCUUUCUUACUUAAAAAUAAAAUUCUAAUUUAAAUUAAAUUGAGACAGUUUUUUUCUCGUCCGACCUUUCAUACCAGUUCCCAAUUAAAAAACUAAUUAUUAUGCUACCUUUGCACGGUCAAAGUACCGCAGCCAUUUAAAUAUAAUUCAUAGGGCAGGCCAAACUUUAAAUUAUUAACAAAAAGCCAU
Molecule: ribosomal RNA, 445 nt
Filed under: Heliocopris hamadryas
Lineage: Eukaryota; Metazoa; Arthropoda; Insecta; Coleoptera; Scarabaeidae
Description: partial 16S ribosomal RNA
Source: RNAcentral